This is a long non-coding RNA of Rhododendron vialii, 1202 nucleotides long. RefSeq lists it as uncharacterized. The record is from RefSeq and is a predicted model, not a curated record. The transcript has 4 exons. Lineage: Eukaryota; Viridiplantae; Streptophyta; Magnoliopsida; Ericales; Ericaceae.
UGACUUUGGGUCUUGGAUCAAACACAUCGACAUCCAAUGUUUCAUAUCUCACCUUGAAUACGUACAUGUGGCCGGGGUACAUUUAUUCUUGACUUGAUUUUUACGUAUUGACUGUAUUUGGAACUAUUUACUGCAUUUGAUUUUGAAAAUUUGUUCAUUAUUUUGCCUCUUACAUCUAUUGCAAAACAGAAGGCUCAAUGGUUCCAACAAAAAAAACGAAUACGAACUACUGCCAAGGGAAAGGAAAAUGCACCGGAUCGACAUCCUCUACAAAGAAAUGUUGGAAUUGUGGUACGUGACGAGCAAAACGUCAAUGACAUCCGUAUCAAUGAGGCAAAACAAAUGUCAAACAAAGGAAAAGAAAAGGCAACCUAUGCCAUGGAAAAUGCAAAUGUACGGAUUCAACCUCUUCGCGACAAAAAUAUUGGAAUAGUAAUCCGUGAUGAGCGGGACCACAAUGUCAUCCAUGUGGGGAAUGGAAAUCAAAAUUCAAGGGUAUCUUUUGUCUUUCUUUUGGUAGUUUUAAAAAUUAUCCAGAAUCAAAUAGCAAACUCUGAAGUAUCUCCUAUGAGUCUAAUCUAACAACGUUGUGCAAAUAGUUUAGUUUUUGAAGUGCAUUACGUGUUUGUAAUUAAAAAAAAAUUCGGUUUUAGGCCCAAUCUAGUAAUAUGUUAUCAAAAACUACAUUGGCGCAACGUGCACAUCGAGAACAAGAAAUAAAUUUAAAAUAGAGCGCUGUACAAUUGGGCCAAAGCUUGCCAGGAAAUAAUGACCAUUCUGGUGAUUCACAGGUAUUUUCUAUCUGUCUUUUUGUAUUUUCAUGCAAUUUUCUAGCUUUCUUUUUGCCAUUUUAAUUUUUAGAAUACGUUUUUCUAUAUAAAUAGUUUGCAUGAAUUUGUGGGAAAUAGGAAUUCGCAUGAUCCUAAUGUUCAUUAGGUUCUUAAAGUUGAAGCAUUGAGCAGCCCCUCCAGAUGAGAAUAAUCAUUUACCAAACCACAUGUUUUCUGUCAAAUAUUUUCACGUUUGAUAUUCCCUUUUAGGCACCCAUUGCUAAUGGUAAUAUUUUCACGCUUUAUUUUACGUACGGAAGUAAUUAAGUUGGUGCUUUGAAGAAGAUGAAGGAGGAAUCUUCAUUGUACGAAUGGUUUUUCUUCUUGAAUGACAAUUUUGCAUUUUCUUGGGUUUAAGCAGUUUUAUUGUGA